Molecule: ribosomal RNA, 437 nt
Filed under: uncultured Chloroflexota bacterium
Lineage: Bacteria; Bacillati; Chloroflexota
Description: bacterial SSU rRNA
Rfam family: Bacterial small subunit ribosomal RNA
Source: RNAcentral
CGGAGCGUGUGGUUUAAUUCGAUGCAACACGAAGAACCUUACCAGGGCUUGACAUGUUGGAAGUAGUGAACCGAAAGGGGAACGACCUGUUAAAUCAGGAGCCUUCACAGGUGCUGCAUGGCUGUCGUCAGCUCGUGCCGUGAGGUGUUGGGUUAAGUCCCCCAACGAGCGCAACCCUCGUUGCCAGUUAAUUUCUCUGGCGAGACUGCCCGCAAAACCGGGAGGAAGGUGGGAUGACGUCAAGUCAGCAUGGUCCUUAUGUCCUGGGCCACACACACGCUACAAUGGGUGGUACAGAGGGUAGCAAUGGGGCGACUCGGAGCUAAUCCCAAAAAGCCAUCCUCAGUUCGGAUUGCAGGCUGAAAUUCGCCUGCAUGAAGGCGGAGUUGCUAGUAACCGCAGGUCAGCAUACUGCGGUGAAUACGUUCUCGGGCCUU